CCUACGGGAGGCUGCAGUGGGGAAUCUUAGACAAUGGGGGCAACCCUGAUCUAGCCAUGCCGCGUGAGUGAUGAAGGCCUUAGGGUUGUAAAGCUCUUUCAGCUGGGAAGAUAAUGACGGUACCAGCAGAAGAAGCCCCGGCUAACUCCGUGCCAGCAGCCGCGGUAAUACGGAGGGGGCUAGCGUUGUUCGGAAUUACUGGGCGUAAAGCGCACGUAGGCGGACUGGAAAGUUGGGGGUGAAAUCCCGGGGCUCAACCUCGGAACUGCCUUCAAAACUAUCAGGCUGGAGUUCGAGAGAGGUGAGUGGAAUUCCGAGUGUAGAGGUGAAAUUCGUAGAUAUUCGGAGGAACACCAGUGGCGAAGGCGGCUCACUGGCUCGAUACUGACGCGGAGGUGCGAAAGCGUGGGGAGCAAACAGGAUUAGAUCCCCUGGUAGU
Molecule: ribosomal RNA, 439 nt
Filed under: uncultured Paracoccaceae bacterium
Lineage: Bacteria; Pseudomonadati; Pseudomonadota; Alphaproteobacteria; Rhodobacterales; Paracoccaceae
Description: uncultured Rhodobacteraceae bacterium partial 16S ribosomal RNA
Rfam family: Bacterial small subunit ribosomal RNA
Source: RNAcentral